GCCGGGCGUUGUGGCGGGCGCCUGUGGUCCCAGCUACUUGGGAGGCUGAGGCAGGAGACUCGCUGGAGCCCAGGAGUUGGAGGUUGCUGUGAGCUGCGAUGCCACAGCACUCUACCCAGAGUGAUAGCUUGAGGCUCUGUCUCUAAAAAAAAAAAAGAGACAGAGUAUCACGUUAUCGCCCUCAGUAGAGUUCUGUCACAGCUCAAAGCAACCUCCAACUCCUGGACUUAGGGGAUUCUCCUGCCU
RNAcentral lists this small RNA (246 nucleotides) under Otolemur garnettii (small-eared galago). RNAcentral describes it as "Metazoan signal recognition particle RNA (ENSOGAG00000028348.1)". Lineage: Eukaryota; Metazoa; Chordata; Mammalia; Primates; Galagidae. The record is from RNAcentral.